RNAcentral lists this long non-coding RNA (834 nucleotides) under Homo sapiens (human). RNAcentral's name for it is "HSALNT0405109". Lineage: Eukaryota; Metazoa; Chordata; Mammalia; Primates; Hominidae. The record is from RNAcentral.
GAGAGAAAACGGGAGAGAAAAGGCUUGAAACUGAGGAGCUGAACUCCAAGUAAAUCUUCCCACGUGCCUGGCCUGGACACAGAUCCAGGGAUGAAAGAGCCCUAAGGCAGUGUAGUAUGAUGUCCUGCCCAUGUGGCCAUUCCUUGUCCUGCGUGGAGAUGGCCAGGGACUGACUUACAAUGGCGACUGAGGGAUUAUUCUGAGAUCUAAGGUCCCUGAUUCCCUGGUCUGCAGACUGCUGGUGCCAAUGGAGGAAAUUUUUCUCUUCUCUUUGUGACUCAUGCCUGCCUCAAUACCAGGACCAGCGUACAGUGGUGACUCCUGCACCAAAGUCAGAGACAGAAGAACAUCCACCCAUCAAAUGUUAAUCCAGACCCACUGUGGUCUGGGACACGUUCCAUGCGGUGAAUUCAGCAGGAACAAGACACAGCCUUCUUGAAAUACAGGACCUAGGAACACAAAAUCUGCAAACUGCACUUAACACAAAAGGGAAGGGGCUGAGAUGGGGAGGAACAAUUCCAAGGUCACUUGGCAAGGAGAGAGAAAAGGAAGACGAGAAAUGCUCUGGACCUGUAACAGUAAGUCUUCUGAGUGUCCUGGGACCAGCCUGCCAGGGAGGGCAUGGGAAAAUCCUCAGCCCAAAUUCUCAGCCCAAAUCCCUCCCUAUGGAGACGGCAUCUCAGUCAGCUCUUUUAGCUGCCUGUAGGGGGCGCGCCUGCCACACUCUGGGUUGAAAGGGAGAGAAAAGACGGUUGAUUCCCAGCUCAGGAACCAAGCUGUCUAGAGACAUUUUCUUUUCUUUUUUUUUUUUAAUUUAUUAUUAUUAUACUUUAA